AUUGAACGCUAGCGGGAUGCUUUACACAUGCAAGUCGAGCGAGCGGCGGACGGGUGAGUACUGUAUGGGGACUGCCCGAUCGAGGGGGAUAACUACUGGAAACGGUAGCUAAUCCCGCAUACUAUCGGAUAACCCAUAUGGGAUUAGCUAGUAGGUGAGGUAAUGGCUCACCUAGGCGACGAUCCCUAGCUGGUCUGAGAGGAUGAUAAGCCACACUGGGACGGAGACACGGCCCAGACUCCGACGGAGGCAGCAGUGGGGAAUAUUGCACAAUGGGCGCAAGCCUGAGGCAGCCAUGCCGCGGGUAGGAAGAAGGCCCUAGGGUUGUAAAGUACUUUCAGUCGGGAGGCGUUACCGACAGAAGAAGCACCGGCUAACUCCGUGCCAGCCGCCGCGGUAAUAC
This 403-nucleotide ribosomal RNA is filed under the name uncultured bacterium. RNAcentral's name for it is "partial 16S ribosomal RNA". It matches the Rfam family "Bacterial small subunit ribosomal RNA", at positions 30 to 526 of the family's 1533-position model. The record is from RNAcentral.